This 407-nucleotide ribosomal RNA is filed under the name uncultured bacterium. RNAcentral describes it as "partial 16S ribosomal RNA". It matches the Rfam family "Bacterial small subunit ribosomal RNA", at positions 28 to 526 of the family's 1533-position model. The record is from RNAcentral.
GACGAACGCUGGCGGCGUGCCUAAUACAUGCAAGUAGGACGCAGUUGCGAACGGGUGAGUAACGCGUAGGUAACUACCUAUUAGAGGGGGAUAACUAUUGGAAACGAUAGCUAAUACCGCAUACUCGUAGAUGUACCUGCGUUGUAUUAGCUAGUAGGUAGGGUAAUGGCCUACCUAGGCAACGAUACAUAGCCGACCUGAGAUGGUGAUCGGCCCAACUGGGACUGAGACACGGCACAGACUGCCAGGGGAGGCAGCAGUAGGGAAUCGUCGGGAAUGGGGGGAAAACUGACCGAGCAACGGCGAGGGAGUGAAGAAGGUUGUCGGAUCGUAAAGCUCUGUUGUUAAGGAAGCGGUACUGAAAGAGAAAGGGACGGCUAACUACGUGCCAGCAGCCGCGGUAAUAC